CCUACGGGAGGCUGCAGUGGGGGAUAUUGCACAAUGGGGGGAACCCUGAUGCAGCGACGCCGCGUGGGUGAAGAAGCGCCUCGGCGCGUAAAGCCCUGUCAGCCGGGAAGAAAAUGACGGUACCUGAAGAAGAAGCCCCGGCUCACUACGUGCCAGCAGCCGCGGUAAUGCGUAGGGGGCAAGCGUGAUCCGGAUUGAAUGGGGGUAAAGGGGGCGCAGACGGCGAUGCAAGGCAGGAGGGAAAGCCCGGGGCCUAACCCCGGGACUGAUCUUGGAACUGCGUGGCUGGAGUGCAGGAGGGGCAGGGGGAAUGCGUGGUGUAGCGGUGAAAUGCGUAGAUAUCACGAGGAACACCGGUGGCGAAGGAGGCAUGCUGGACUUCAACUGACGUUGAGGCCCGAAAGCGUGGGGAGCGAACAGGAUUAGAUACCCCAGUAGUC
RNAcentral lists this ribosomal RNA (440 nucleotides) under uncultured bacterium. Its description in RNAcentral is "partial 16S ribosomal RNA". It matches the Rfam family "Bacterial small subunit ribosomal RNA", at positions 338 to 795 of the family's 1533-position model. The record is from RNAcentral.